UACGUAGGUGGCAAGCGUUGUCCGGAUUUACUGGGCGUAAAGAGCGCGCAGGCGGUCGUUCAAGUCGCGUGUGAAAGCCCCCGGCUCAACUGGGGAGGGUCACGCGAUACUGAUCGACUCGAAGGCAGGAGAGGGAAGUGGAAUUCCCGGUGUAGUGGUGAAAUGCGUAGAUAUCGGGAGGAACACCAGUGGCGAAGGCGGCAUCCUGGACCGGCAUUGACGCUGAGGCGCGAAAGCCAGGGGAGCAAACGGG
RNAcentral lists this ribosomal RNA (253 nucleotides) under uncultured bacterium. RNAcentral describes it as "partial 16S ribosomal RNA". It matches the Rfam family "Bacterial small subunit ribosomal RNA", at positions 524 to 776 of the family's 1533-position model. The record is from RNAcentral.